This 410-nucleotide ribosomal RNA is filed under the name uncultured microorganism. Its description in RNAcentral is "bacterial SSU rRNA". It matches the Rfam family "Bacterial small subunit ribosomal RNA", at positions 509 to 917 of the family's 1533-position model. The record is from RNAcentral.
CAGCCGCCGCGGUAAUACGUAGGUGGCAAGCGUUGUCCGGAAUUAUUGGGCGUAAAGCGCGCGCAGGCGGUUCCUUAAGUCUGAUUUGAAAUCUCGCGGCUCAACCGCGAGCGGCCAUUGGAAACUGGGGAACUUGAGUGCAGGAGAGGGGAGCGGAAUUCCACGUGUAGCGGUGAAAUGCGUAGAGAUGUGGAGGAACACCAGUGGCGAAGGCGGCUCUCUGGCCUGUAACUGACGCUGAGGCGCGAAAGCGUGGGGAGCGAACAGGAUUAGAUACCCUGGUAGUCCACGCCGUAAACGAUGAGUGCUAAGUGUUAGAGGGUAUCCACCCUUUAGUGCUGCAGCAAACGCAUUAAGCACUCCGCCUGGGGAGUACGGCCGCAAGGCUGAAACUUAAAGGAAUUGGCGGG